Molecule: ribosomal RNA, 253 nt
Filed under: uncultured bacterium
Lineage: Bacteria
Description: partial 16S ribosomal RNA
Rfam family: Bacterial small subunit ribosomal RNA
Source: RNAcentral
UACGUAGGGUGCGAGCGUUAAUUGGAAUUACUGGGCGUAAAGCGUGCGCAGGCGGUUCGUUGUGUCUGAUGUGAAAGCCCCGGGCUUAACCUGGGAAUGGCAUUGGAAACUGGCGAGCUUGAGUGUGGCAGAGGGGGGUGGAAUUCCGCGUGUAGCAGUGAAAUGCGUAGAGAUGCGGAGGAACACCGAUGGCGAAGGCAGCCCCCUGGGCCAACACUGACGCUCAGGCACGAAAGCGUGGGGAGCAAACAGG